UACGAGGGGUGCAAGCGUUAUUCGGAAUUAUUGGGCGUAAAGGGUGCGUAGACGGCUUAUCAAGUCAACUGUUAAAUUCUCCGGCCUAACUGGAGGCAAGCGGUAGAAACUGAUGAGCUUGAGGAUGGAAGAGAGAAGUGGAAUUCUCGGAGUAGCGGUAAAAUGCGUAGAUCUCGAGAGGAACACCGAUGGCGAAGGCAGCUUCUUGGUCCAUAUCUGACGUUGAGGCACGAAAGCGUGGGGAGCAAACAGG
This 253-nucleotide ribosomal RNA is filed under the name uncultured bacterium. Its description in RNAcentral is "partial 16S ribosomal RNA". It matches the Rfam family "Bacterial small subunit ribosomal RNA", at positions 524 to 776 of the family's 1533-position model. The record is from RNAcentral.